Molecule: RNA transcript, 2087 nt
Organism: Zingiber officinale
Lineage: Eukaryota; Viridiplantae; Streptophyta; Magnoliopsida; Zingiberales; Zingiberaceae
Gene name: probable sphingolipid transporter spinster homolog 2
Exons: 17
Source: RefSeq, a predicted model, not a curated record
UAUUUCUUUCCGAGGGGAGUGUUCCCGAAUCGGAGGAACGGCCUAGGGCGAUCGAUGGGGGAGGCGGCCAUGGAGGUAGAGGUCGAGGGAACGGACUCCGACCUACGCCGGGAAUCGUCUGUUCCUCAUUCGUCAUCAUCUUCGGAGCCAGAGAAGGCGGAGAUGACGAUCUCUUUGCCUGAAGAAGCCGAUGGAAACCCCGACCUCCCCCCGCCCGACCAAAAUCCUUCUUGGUUCACUCCCAAGAGGUUACUUGUGAUUUUUUGUAUUAUCAACAUGUUAAAUUAUGUUGAUAGGGGUGUAAUAGCAAGUAACGGUGUAAAUGGUAGCCACAAGUCCUGCAUAAAUGGUACAUGCAGUUCGGGCACUGGAAUUCAAGGAUAUUUUAACCUGAACUAUUUUGAAGAUGGUGUACUUUCAUCAGCGUUCAUGGUCGGGCUUUUAGUGGCAUCUCCCAUUUUUGCAUCAUUAGCAAAGAGCCAUAAUCCUUUUAGAUUAAUUGGAGUGGGUCUGUCAGUUUGGACUAUUGCUACAGCUGGUUGUGGUGGCUCAUUUAACUUUUGGUCUAUAGCAAUAUGCCGAAUGUUGGUUGGUGUUGGUGAAGCUUCUUUCAUAAGUCUUGCAGCUCCAUUUAUAGAUGACAAUGCUCCUGUUACUCAGAAAACAGCAUGGCUUGCAAUCUUCUACAUGUGUAUACCUACAGGAAUUGCAAUUGGCUAUGUAUAUGGCGGGCUGGUUGGGAACCAUCUACAUUGGCGAGCUGCAUUCUGGGGAGAGUCAAUUUUGAUGCUUCCAUUUGCCAUUUUAGGUUUCAUCAUAAAACCUUUGCAGCUCAAAGGUUUUACCUCAUCUAAAACAAAACAAGCAAAGAUUAGUGGUGAAUCAAUGGACCAAGAUAUGCAACAUAGUGAUCACCAGAAUGCUGGAACUGAGAUACGAGGCAAUGAUGGUAGUUUAUUUGCAAAAGCACCACAAAAAUUCUCAUCGUGUAGUGGAGUUGAUAGGAUUGUGAAUCAAGUUUCAAGGUUUUGGGAAGAUAUGAAGAUGCUUCUAUCAGAGAAAGUCUAUCUAGUAAAUGUUCUGGGGUAUAUUGCUUACAAUUUUGUUAUAGGGGCUUAUUCAUACUGGGGGCCCAAAGCUGGUCAUGAUAUCUACAAUAUGAGCAAUGCUGAUUUGAUGUUUGGAGGGAUUACUAUAGUUUGUGGGAUUGUUGGAACUCUAGCUGGUGGAUUCAUUCUUGAUCUCAUCAACUCUACUAUCUCCAAUGCUUUUAAGCUUCUAUCUGGAGCAACAUUUUUGGGGGCUAUUUUUUGUUUCAGUGCUUUUUGCUUCAGAAGCCUCUAUGGUUUUAUAGCCUUCUUUGCGGUUGGAGAAAUUCUUGUCUUUGCCACGCAGGGUCCAGUAAAUUAUGUAUGCCUUCAUAGUGUCAAUCCUAGCUUAAGGCCACUGUCAAUGGCUAUUUCAACCGUCUGUAUCCACAUAUUUGGAGAUGUUCCAUCCUCGCCACUGGUUGGGGUCCUGCAGGACUAUGUUAACAACUGGAGAGAAACUUCUCUCAUACUGACAUCGAUUCUGUUUGUUGCUUCUGGAAUUUGGUUCAUAGGCAUCUUUCUUAAAAGCGUAGACCGGUUCAACGAAGAUAAUGAACAUGUUCCUUCCGCCAAGGCAUCAAAUACAAAGCCAUCGCUUGAUGCUAAUAAGGUUUCAGAAGAAUGCAGCUAAAAGAUUUCCAAGAGUUAAUGCAAAAAAUUCUCAACUAUCUACUGCUCUUCACAGGGGAUGUAUAUAGUCUAAGGGAAGCAUCUUUGAACUAUCUUGAUUCUCCUACAAUUCACAAGCGUUGCUUCUGACAAGGCAAUUGGAUAAAAAAAGUAGUCUCUGCCACUGCCAAUUAAAAUUUUAAAUUAGUAUCUUUUCACAAUUCUCUCAUUAUUUUUUUUAAAAAAGAAAGUUGCAAUGUUUUUCAAAGAUGUCAUGUUUAAAUUUUGUGAGUGGAUAUCAUUUAUGAUUCAUGUAAGUAUAUUAUUGGUGGUUCUUGUUUAUAUGAAACUAUUUAUGUUAAAUGCUCAUUCAAGUUAGUGAAACCA